RNAcentral lists this ribosomal RNA (245 nucleotides) under uncultured Actinomycetes bacterium. RNAcentral's name for it is "uncultured actinobacterium partial 16S ribosomal RNA". It matches the Rfam family "Bacterial small subunit ribosomal RNA", at positions 28 to 276 of the family's 1533-position model. Lineage: Bacteria; Bacillati; Actinomycetota; Actinomycetes. The record is from RNAcentral.
GAUGAACGCUGGCGGCGCGCCUAACACAUGCAAGUCGAACGGCACCCCUCUCCGGAGGGGAGCGAGUGGCGAACGGCUGAGUAACACGUGGAGAACCUGCCCCCUCCCCCGGGAUAGCCGCCCGAAAGGACGGGUAAUACCGGAUACCCCGGGGUGCCGCAUGGCACCCCGGCUAAAGCCCCGACGGGAGGGAAUGGCUCCGCGGCCCAUCAGGUAGACGGCGGGGUGACGGCCCACCGUGCCGA